GAUGAACGCUGGCGGCGUGCCUAAAACAUGCAAGUCGUGCGGCAGCGGGCCUUCGGGUGCCGGCGAGCGGCGGACGGGUGAGUAACGCGUAGGAACGUACCCCAAAGUGAGGGAUAAGCUCCGGAAACGGAGUCUAAUACCGCAUAUGCUCUUAGGAGGAAAGGAGUAAUCCGCUUUGGGAGCGGCCUGCGUCCGCUUAGGUUGUUGGUGAGGUAAUGGCUUACCAAGACGAUGAUCGGUAGCUGGUUUGAGAGGAUGAUCAGCCACACUGGGACUGAGACACGGCCCAGACUCCUACGGGAGGCAGCAGUUAGGAAUUUUCCACAAUGGGGGCAACCCUGAUGGAGCAACGCCGCGUGCAGGAAGACGGCCUUCGGGUUGUAAACUGCUUUUAAAAGUGAAGAUUAUGACGGUAACUUUAGAAUAAGGAUCGGCUAACUCCGUGCCAGCCGCCGCCGUAA
This 461-nucleotide ribosomal RNA is filed under the name uncultured bacterium. RNAcentral's name for it is "partial 16S ribosomal RNA". It matches the Rfam family "Bacterial small subunit ribosomal RNA", at positions 28 to 523 of the family's 1533-position model. The record is from RNAcentral.